CCAUGGGUAGGCUGAUGCAUAAACUCACACUAUGACUGCACCAAGAUAACCUGGAAACAGCCAGCUGGAAACUAGCAGCUGUUUUCCAGGUUUACUGGCUCGCACCACUGCACUGGCUUCCUUCACCUUGUUCAUCUGUCGCAGGCUAGCAAGAUGUACCAGCACUCAGGCUUUAAGGAGCAUGGAGAGUUUCCAGAGAACCAGAGUAGAGAGUUUGUGGGACACCAGGGAAGACAGUUGUGGAUGGAGUAUCGCUCACCUCAGAUGCUUUUGUUGGGUUUCAUGUCUGCUUUCUGAGUCCCUAACUGUACCUAUCAAGACUGGCUUUCACAGUGAAACAUAGUUUUCUUUUCAGUGCAAAGGACGAAGACACACAUAGUGCUGGGUCUUUAGUAAUUGAAAAAUGAAUAAAAAAUUAAUUUAGAAUUAGUAUUAAUCAGUGAUCAUAUACACAGCCUGGCCUAAUCCUUCUGUAAGAAAGAAUGCAGCGAUCCAGAGAGGCACCACACAGUUUAAUGCCAGAUGUUUUAUAAAAGUAUGACAAGAUAUGUGAUAUCAAUGAAAACAACUGUAAACAAGAAGUAAGAAAUCCAUGACAUUUUGAGUCCUGAGUGUAUUAAAUACACACUACAGUACCUGUACAUGAAAAAAAAUUGGAUUUAAGCACUGUCUUUUAAUUUAGUGGAUGGUUAGAAGAGAUAGUUAAUCUUUACACAGUGCACACAUGAAACAUGUACAGUGGCUCAUACUGGUCCCAUAAAAUGAAUUCUUCAUCAUAAAUCAUUGUGGUAUUGUUUUGUUGGAUUUGUAUUCAUCAGUGAUGGUGUACGCAACAUGGUCUAAUUCUGUCAGUAAAAAAAAUGCAACAUUUCAUGAAAUAAAGUUAAUUUUACUUGUGUAUUGUGUCCCUUCCUGCGACUGUUGGAGAUAAAAACAUCAGCCUAUUAAAAGUCUAAAUGUCUUAAAUAAGUGAGGGGGUUAUAAAUACCUGCUUACUUAAAGGCUCUAUAUGUGGGAAUCAGAAAUUCAUUCUCAUUAGUGACACCGGUGGCCGUUAGGUGAGCUGUAGUCAACAUCCUGUUGGCUUGUGCUUGCAUGCUCGCAGCAUGAGACUAUUGCAGGUGAUGUUUUUCCUCACUUAUACUUCUCAUAAUUACAUAAACAUCUCUAAUGCUGUGUUUUGCACUGUGUUUCAGCAAAGCAUCUGUCACUCUCAGUCAGUCAGCCCCCUCCCCCAGUUUAUGUAAGUGCGACUGCUCACACACAAACACACAAGUAGAGGCUCAUGCUGCGCUGUGACUGCUGGCCAGUGAGAGUCAAUCCAAGCCCAACCUGCAAAAAUAUGCAUUAAUUAAUCAAUCGAACCUGACCCGCAAACCACCAAUUUUUUUUUGCCAACCAUAUUUACUAAAAACCAGUAGGCUCGGUGAGCAGUGGCUGGGGAGCAACAUGCUGUGGUUUUGUUGUGAAAUGUGUGCUAAUUACGACCUUUUGACUACCAACAGAAAAAACAAAAAGGGUAAGUUAUGUGUUGCUAUUGCUUUGGAGCUUGUUUUCUGCUCCUUUGUUGAGGAAAUGUUGUUUUAGCUGUGUGUGCUCAGGAGUGGGUGACUUGUCAUUAUGGGGAUGUUUUUUUGUAAAAUGUGUAGUGGUUGAUGGUGGCAG
Long non-coding RNA from Thunnus maccoyii (southern bluefin tuna), 1665 nucleotides. RefSeq lists it as uncharacterized. The transcript has 3 exons. The record is from RefSeq and is a predicted model, not a curated record. Lineage: Eukaryota; Metazoa; Chordata; Actinopteri; Scombriformes; Scombridae.